UCCGUAGGUGAACCUGCGGAAGGAUCAUUACCGAGUGCGGGCCCUCGCGGCCCAACCUCCCACCCUUGUCUCUAUACACCUGUUGCUUUGGCGGGCCCACCGGGGCCACCUGGUCGCCGGGGGACGCAAGUCCCCGGGCCCGCGCCCGCCGAAGCGCUCUGUGAACCCUGAUGAAGAUGGGCUGUCUGAGUACUAUGAAAAUUGUCAAAACUUUCAACAAUGGAUCUCUUGGUUCCGGCAUCGAUGAAGAACGCAGCGAAAUGCGAUAAGUAAUGUGAAUUGCAGAAUUCCGUGAAUCAUCGAAUCUUUGAACGCACAUUGCGCCCCCUGGCAUUCCGGGGGGCAUGCCUGUCCGAGCGUCAUUUCUGCCCUCAAGCACGGCUUGUGUGUUGGGUGUGGUCCCCCCGGGGACCUGCCCGAAAGGCAGCGGCGACGUCCGUCUGGUCCUCGAGCGUAUGGGGCUCUGUCACUCGCUCGGGAAGGACCUGCGGGGGUUGGUCACCACCAUAUUUUACCACGGUUGACCUCGGAUCAGGUAGGAGUUACCCGCUGAACUUAAGCAUAUCAAUAAGCGGAGGA
Molecule: ribosomal RNA, 579 nt
Rfam family: 5.8S ribosomal RNA (bases 209-362)